RNAcentral lists this long non-coding RNA (37605 nucleotides) under Elaeis guineensis (African oil palm). Its description in RNAcentral is "long non-coding RNA (EGUI_LNC006945)". The record is from RNAcentral. Lineage: Eukaryota; Viridiplantae; Streptophyta; Magnoliopsida; Arecales; Arecaceae.
GGAGGCGACGGUGAGGAGAUACAUUACAAUGUAUGAAUACCAGAGCUCGACCGGGAAGCCGACGCACCUUUAUAUCAACGGGAAGAGAUUCGAGGACCCGGUGACGGAGACGCCGAGGCCGGGGAGCACGGAGGUGUGGGAGGUGAUCAACCUAACGGGGGAUAACCAUCCAUUGCAUCUCCACCUAGCGACGUCCCAGGCCGUGAGGGUGACGGAGCUGGUGGAUUUGACGACGUUCGGCAAUUGUAUGACGGCAAACAAUGACGCCGUUAAGUGUAACGUCACGGGCCAUGCGGUGGGGAAGAAGCUGCCAGUGCCGGAAUACGAGAAGACGUGGAAGAAUGUGGUGAAGAUUGAACCUGGCUACGUGACGACGGUGGUGGUGAAGUUUAGGCUUAUUGAUACGAAUGCGUCGUAUCCAUUUGACGCAACGGCGGAGCCCGGUUACGUCUACCAUUGCCAUGUAAGCUCUCAUUUAUAUCACCCCUUUUUAUUACCGGGCUCUUUAUUUUAAUCGACCUAAUUAAUAGGAUAAUCCCAAUAGUUUUAACUAAAUGAGAGAAACAAGUCCUAAAUUCGGUUAUGUUCUAUAUCCUGUCGCUGGCUUACAUGUAUAAAUAUUGGCAGGGUUUUCCAAAAUGGAACUUUACAAACUUAAAGAACUCCUAAAAUCAAAUUAAAUAAUAUAUGUUUUGCACAUUAUUUGAAUUAAAUAAUAUUUUCUAAUUAAUAUUUUUUGUCCUAUUUGUUGACCUACUCCAAUUAUCUUUUUGAGGAGACCUACCCUACAUCUUACUUUAAACUCAAACUUGUGUUAAUUCGGCUAAGUGUUAGCUAUUGCAAUCACUGUGUUAAUUAAUUGGAUGAAAAUAUCUUUGAUUAAAAUAUUUAUCAUAAAAAAAUAUUUCAAAUAUAGAAGAUAAAAAAACUAAAUAUAAUAAAAAAUAAUAUACUAAAUUAUUAAUAGAUUUUUAAUUUUUAAUACUAUUUUUUAGAUCUUAUUGAUCAGUGUUCAACAUUACUCUUCAAUUGCACAAUAAAUAAAAAAGUCAUAAAUCAUGUAUCUAAAAAAUUAUGUAUGUAUGUGUGUGUGUGCAUGUGUGUGCGUGCGUGUGUAUCAAAAAAAAUAUUAAAAAUUUAUUGAUAUUUUUAAUUGUGUUACGUACUAAGGAUUUAGAAUAUUAAAUGAAUAAUAUCAAAUAUUUUUAAUUUCAUUCUAUCACUAAUGUUGUUUUCUUUCAAUGAAAAUAACUGAUUAUUGAAAUAUUAUAAUUUUCUUAAAAUAACUGAAUUUAUAAUGCAACAUAUCUAUUUUAUUAAAUAUAUUUGUGCUCUUCAAAUUUUAUUUUAAUUGUUAAAUUUUUUUGAGCUAUACAUGUGGUCAUAAGUUCAAAUCCGUGGUCCCGUGCCUUGAUGACUAAUAAGGAGAGUGAAGGACGGAGAGGAUGGAGAUGGAAAUGAGUGGCAAGUCGAAGAAGAUAAAGAGACAGUGGAAAAAUGGGAGUAGUUUUCAUUGAAAAGACAUGGUCCUUAUCAGAAAGAAAAAGCAUGGGUCCCGUUUUCAUAAAGGUGAGAAAAUAUUAUGGAGCAAGUCCACCGUGGACCAGUCCAACCAAACAGUAACACCGAUCCUUUUUCCCCCUGUCCUCACUUUAUGUGCAAUGGGUAGUGGUCCCCACUAAUAUUUUCUCAGAGGAUAGCGUGGAGAAUACAUUGAUGGCUCAACUCUUCUCAAAAUUGCCAUUUUAAAUGAAUCCUUUUUCCCUAAUUGCAAAAAUAUCAUGAUUCCUGAUGAAGUAAGGCAAGACAGGCAUGAAUAGAGAUAAUAUGCAGUAUAUGAUCUUGUGAGUAUAAUAUGUGAAUGCAUGCAUUUAUAAGUAGCACGUGGAUCUUCUGCAGUGCGCCGCACUGUUUGCACAGUCCAUCGCACGAUGGAUGAUAUGCACGAUCAUAUAUGUAUGUGCACGAUCAUAUAUAGUCAUUUAUCGUAUGAUAGAUGAUAUAUGUGAUGCAUCAUAUCGUAUGGUAUAUUUUGAUAUUUUAAAAAAUCUGCGUCCUCAUAAGUGUACGUCAAGAAUGCUAACAAAAGAUAAAAUAACAAACCCAUCCAUGUGGAAAUUUUGUUCACCUGCACUUAAUGAAGAGGUUGCGAGAUCUAUUUUCUCGUCACUUAGUGGAUUGAUCGUUUGUCAUUUAAUGUGCGCAGAUUCUAGACCACGAAGACAAUGCAAUGAUUCGGCCCAUGAUGCUCGUUUCUUGACGCCACGCCAAAUCGGAAAAAGACGAGCAUUUCUUAGAGAUUUUUCGAUAUUUCAUAAUCUUAAGCAUGAAGCUUGGUCCACAAAUCUUUGGAGAUUCCCCCACUGGUGCAGAAAGUCUGGGAUGGAUUAAAUAUUUUGAUAAACUAUUUUCAUGCAUGUAAAAGUUUAUUUUAUCAAAAAAAUGUAAGUAGAAGUUUAUGGGAUUGUGAUAUAUAGAUGCUCCGCAAAUGGCUUAAGCACUUAGUUUGUAUCAUGGAGGGACGGUAUUUUUAGUUUCAUAUUAAUUAUAAAUUAAAAAAAUAUAAUUUAUGUGAAAUGAGAUGUUUUUUCUUACGUAAGGUAUUUUUUAAAAGUCAAAACCCUGAAGCUCCAAAUUAAUUAUCAAGGCUACCUAAUGUAUGCAUGUCUUAUCUUCCGGAUGAAAAUCUCCAGCAUCUCCUGUCAUGCCUACAUUCAUGCCAUUAAUGUCUUCAAAUAUUUUGUCUUAUCUUCCGAAUGGGAAUCUCCAGCAUCUCCUUUGGAAGGCCAUGCCUACAUGCUACAACUAUAUAUACCGAGCCUUGGCUAACAACCACUAGACUUGGUUCCAUUGCCUCAAGUGACUGGUGGACAACAUCUUGAUUAGACUUGCGCGCCCUCCCAUUAUCGAAUGGCAUGUAGUCAAGGAUAGAUGCCAUGCAUUAAAUGAGAUUUAGAUGUAUGUCAUGGUUUACAAGCUUUAGAAACAUAAAAUGAGAUUUUCUUUUUUUUGAAGCAGAGCGAGUGAAGCAAGUGAAAUAUAACAUAAUAAGCAAAGCAAGAAAAAAAAAGGAUUCCUCCAUCCUUCGACGGCCAUGCUUGCUUUGUUUAGGUUAUACAAUAAGUUAGUUAGGAUGCAGAGUCUCCGCCCUGUAGAUCGGACAAAUCUGAUUAUCGUACAUAAGACAUGAUUUCGAAUCCAGAUCAAUUUACUUUAUUAUACAUAUCUCUUAUAAUCCUAAAAGAAGAGAGAGUGAUUAAAUAUCCUGAUGAUUAUGUAUAUUAAUGGAGCUGAGAUUUCUGUAAAAAUCUUAUAUUCUGAAAUCUCUAAUAUUCUAUAUUAAAUUUUUAUAUUAUUUUUAUCUAUGGACGUAAGUCAAUAGGUCGAAUCAUAUAAAUAUUAUUGCUCUUAUUUUUUUUCUCUUUUUUUUUAUUUUAUUAUUUUUUCUACCUGUUAUAAAAGGAUGUUUAGUGCAAGUUGUCUCUAAAUGGUGCCCAAGAUCAUGCCUCGAGUGCCAUCAUAGGAAAACUUGUAUUGCUUAACCAUUUAUUGCGCUCAGGGCAUAACUAAUUAUUUGUGAGGAUGAGAAGAUAUUCUUAAAACAUUGUUGGCAUGCAAAUUGGAUUCAAGUCAACAUCAUUACUUACAGAGAUUUGAAGUUCCAUAAAAUAUCAUGGAAUGAAAUUCUAAAUAUAGCCUAUGACAACAUAGUGGGUGUUUCUUGUAGAAACUUCAAGCAAAUAGAAAAUCUGUGACAGAUUACAGGGGUGGAAGUGGUGGUGUUUUCUGUGAUUGGAACUUAUCCUCCUUAAGUUUAAGGUCAAAUUUCUCAGGUGGUGUUAGAUCAACCCUUAGACGGUCAAUAGCACAAUAAUGUAUCGUAAUUCAAAUUUUAAAUAGAAGAAAACUAGCAAGACUUAUUGAAUGUAUUUAUGAGCCAUUUGGCUCCAAUGUUGAGACCAUUUAUAUAACGGCAUGAGUCUUUCUCGAUUUUAAUAGCAAAGCAAGCUGAGAGGCCUGAAGUUUCCAAUCAAUACUAGACACCAUAAUAUCCACUCGGGGGCGGCUCAACAUAUUUGAAGGCCUAAAGCUAAAAACUUCCACCGUCCCACGCUAUCUGCCCACGAGCCCAUCACAUUUUCUUCUGCCACGUGUUUUGAUUUUUGACAAAAAAAAAAAACCCCGAUGCCACAGCCCUUUCAUCUUCCACCUGUGACUGGUCACCGGCCGAUCGACCGUCGGCGAGCCGCGACAGGCGACUUCUCACUCUCGAACCGAGCGGGAAGGAGGGACUUGGGGGCUGCGCAGGCUGCAGGGUCCGGCAGGGGCCAGGGAGGGAUCUUCUUCCGGGCUCCGACUUUCGAGAAACGAAAAAAGAAAUUGUUUCCGGCGGACCGGCGGCCCGCCGGCCCAGCGCACCAAGCGGGACGGAGGGGGAGUGCCGAAAAACAAAAAAAAUGAAGAAACUUAUCGGUGGAGCCGACGAGCUGUGGUGGUCCUGGACGGCUGGAUCUCCUCACCUCCUGGCUCCUGGUGGUCUUGUCUUGCCGCAUUGCCGGCCGGGGAGGCCUUGCCAGGCCGGAGAGACCGGGGCUGGUGGAGCCGUGGAGCGGGACUGGAGGCGGAGGCGAGAUCGGGAUGCUGGGAUGCGCCGAUGCGGUCACUGAUGGAGCGUGGAGGUGGGACCAGGACGGCAGGAUGCCGAACGGCCAGAGGUGGAGGCGUGGAGGCGGAGGCUGGACCGCGACUGGACUUGGAGGCGGGAUCGGGACGUCGGAGGCGAGAUCGGGAUGCCGAGAUGCGGUCACUGAUGGAGUGUGGAGGGCCUGGAGGUGGGAUCGGGAUGCCGGAGGUGGAGGCUGGACCGCGAUGCCGGAUGCGAGCGAGCGGGGGCCUAAGGCAAGGGCUUCGGUGGCCUUGCCCUUCAGCCGCCCCUAUCCACCAACCAAUACUUGGUGAAUAUGGCUAAUAGUAACCCGUUUGUCACAGAUAGAUUGGCCAAUUCUAAUUUACAAUAUGGAAGUGUUGGAAUAGGAGAGAAACCCAUCCUACAAAAGUAUAUGACUUAUGAGAAAGAAAAAAAUGAAUAUUGCUUUGGUGAAUCUUUUGAUAUAUUCUAAAGACUGACAUAACAAAGAUGAUGUUUAACCAACCAUAUGUGGGUCCUAUAAAUUAGGCCAAGCAAGUUAUCACUAAUGUUUCAAUUAAUGUUAGGCUAACUUUAAAACUCAGGAUAAAUUUUAAUGAGUAAGAAAAACUUAGAUAUAAAUACGGGUCUUUAAUUGGUGUUUGGUUGGGAUUAUGAGAGAGUGGACAGAUAUUAGUUAAAAGGAUGCAUAAUAUUCAUCAGUCAGGUGAUUCAGAAAAUUAUAGAAAGGAUAGAUGAAAGAUGAGCGACUGCUCGUCCAUUCUAGUCCAUCAAUUUGCAUCCUCUUAAAAUUGAUAGAAUGAAAAAAAAGAUGGAUAUUGAUGGAUGGAUUUCUUUACUAAUAAAAUUAUCUUUUAUUUUAUUUUUUUGAAAAAAUUAUAACCUUUUUUCACUUUUUAUUCAUAUUAUUUAUAUACAUUUAUAUAUAUAGUAGUAAUCAGAUCCUAUUAAAUUUUAUUACUAAUUAUAUUAAUUUUAGUACAUAAUUUUCAUGAAAGUAAUUAAAUAAUUAGAAUUAUCUUCUAUUUUUUUAUUUAUAUUUUUUAUUUUUUAUUAACUAUUUAUAUAAUAUUAAUUAACUAUUUAAAUUAGAUUAUAAAUUAAUAAGUUACUUAUAUAAUUAAUAAAUAAUAAUUCAUCAAUAAUUAAUUUAUAAAAUUAUGUAUUAAAUUAAAUUAAAUAUUUAUAUAAUUUUUUAUAUAAUUAUAGAUUAUAAGAUUAUAAGUUUAUACAUUGUUUAUUUUUUUUAUAUAAAUAAAUAUUAUAAAUUGAUAAUAAUAUUAUUUUUAUUAAAAAAUAAUUUAAUAAAAAUAUUAUAUAAAUAUUAUCCAUCUUUUCUUUCAUUUCUUCUAUACCAAACAGAAGAGAAAAUUAUUUUUAUCCACCCUUCAAAUUUUUACUAAAUAUGAGAAGAUUGAUGAAAGAUCCAUCCAUCUUCUCUCUUAUUUUUCUUUUCUCCUUCGUUUACUUUUUCUUCAAUCCAUCGUUCAUACUAAACAGAAAGUGAAGAUAGGUUUUGUGUUUCUCAAAAUCAAUAAUUUGAUGUAAAAGGUCUCAAUCCAUCUGCUCUUUAAUAUUCUACUAUAGUAACAGCUAAAUAAGAAUAUAUUUUUAAUAAUAAAAAUUUGAUUGAAUUAUUUCUAGUUGCCCCUCACCUCCAGUAUCGAGAUGUAAUAAUACUGUAGCAAAACAAAGAGAACAAAUAGAGGGUUUUUUUUUUGUUCAAAGAAGAUAAGAGAGAUUAUAUAAAAAUUUAAAAAUUAAUAUAUAUAUAUAUAUAGAGAGGUGGCUUCUAUCUCGAAUCUAAUCAAGCGGUCGAAGCGGUUCAUUUUUUUAUAUAUAAUGGUAAAGUUUGCGACAGAUACAAGCAUACAUACAACGGCAAGUUUUCUAUGGAUAAAAAGAAGGAAAGUUGAGGUGUUUUUUUUUGGGUAAAAAGAGUUGAGGUACCUUAAAACACCUAAAACAACAACAGCCAAUACAUUGGUAAACGGCAAAGUUAACAAAGGAAGGUGUUUCAUAUGGCCGGUGUUAGCCUACUUUUUCUCUUUCCAAUAAAAAAUUAAUUAAUUUAUAAAAAAAAGGGGGAAAAAAAAAGGGAGGCAUCUUGAUCUUGGCGGGAUGUACUAACCCGCAGCUAAAGAUAAUAUCCUAAUUAGUAACAGUCUUGCUUUUUUUGAAUUAUGAAUAGGGUCAACAAAAUAUGAUCUGAUCCGUCAAUUCAAUUUAUAUUCGAUCUAUCAUAAAAAUAUUUAAAUUUAGUCUAACUGAAUUUGAAUCUUAAAAAAAUUAAUUAAUUUAUUUUAUUUAAUAUUUCGAUCGGAUUUAAAUUUUAAAUAUCUGAUCCAUUUAAUCCAUUUAACUUGUUUAAUAUUCAGAUUAGAUUGAGUUAGAUAACUCAUUUAUCUGUUUAAAAUUUAUUUAAUCUGUUUCUAAUCUAUCUAACUCAAUUUAUUUAACUUAUUUAAUUUAUUUAAGAUAUGUUUAAUAUAUUUAAAAUCUACUUAAUCUGCUGAUCCAUUUAAUCUGACCUAUUUAAUCUAUUUAAUUUGUUUAACUUAAUUUAAUUUAUUUAAUAAACUGAUUAAAUAGAUCAGAUUAAAUUAUCUAUUUAAUAAAUAAAUUAAAUUUAAAUUUAAAUUUUUAAUUUAUUUAAUAAAUAAAUUAAAUUUAAAUUGAUAAUUUUUUAAUUCAAUACAUAUUGAUCUGAUUCGUAUCCAAUCCAAUUUACCCUAAUUACCAUCUCUAAUUAUGAAUAAAAAAUGCGCGCUGCUUUUUUCUAAACCCACAGCGAGUAACCAGAACGUAGCUCAGACAAAUCCAAAGCUAGAGACCAUACGGAGCCUUGAAUGGAUAACGUACGGAUGGAAUGUAUACACUCCGGGCAACCAAAAUCCGUCCGCGAGAAAUUGUUUGUUAGGCCUAAUCCAUCAGCUUAGCGAUUGACUAAUCCUAUCAAACAGCACCAUAUAUCAUAUUAAAGAAUAAGAAAGGAAAAAAAAAAAAGCUAAGCACCAUCAAAGCGCCGCUCAAAUCUGCCUUCAUGCCUAGUGAAAUCCUUGCACCUAAUCUUCAUCCGCUGCCACACCCUUUCGCUCUCUUGCAUCAUUGUUCUUUGACUUCGGUACCUCUCCAUUCACUAUCUUAAUGUACCAUUGAUCGAUAUUUUUUCGAAUCUUAUUCUCUGCUAGAUAUAUUGAAUGAAUUUAUUGAAAUUGCUGACGGACUUUUAUGUGCUAUCAUUCUCUGGUCUACUUUCUAUUGUCAGCUCAUCUCGAACUCUCUCUGGAUUCUUUGUGCGCCACCACUCACCCCAUCAGGGUCCUGUGAAAAAGUUGCUCGAGUGCCAAUCUGUAGUCCGAGCACGCCGCCCUCUCCUUGCACCAUAAUUUUGAUACAAUAUUGGAGCUGAGCUACAAAAAUAUAUUAUGAUUUUACAUUCACCAAAAUAUAUAGACACGCACGCAUACAAGAGUAUAGGAUUUCAGAAAAUCAGAAUCUUAUAUUUUACUAUAAAAAAUUAACAGAGAUCUCAUGAUUUUAAUAGAUGUGAUACAUAUUACAUAAAUUUCUCGGAUAUAGUAUAUUAGCUGAAAAUCUGCUUGAUAUUCUCUGGUAUUUUAGAUAUUUUCUAAUAUGAUAUAUCGAUUGAAAUUUUUUUAAUAUUUUUUGAUAUUUUUGUAAUAUUUAUCGAUAUUCUCAGAUAAAAAUGGACUGCCCCGCUGACGAGAUAUGGAUUGCCCCAGAUGGGAAGACGAUCUCUUGUAAAAGGGAAAGUAUUCUCAGGGAGCCACUCGCUAGCACUCGACCCCCACACAUCGUUUUACACGCUCUCCGCCCAGAACCCACAAGAGGGAGAUAGGAAGAGGAACAAAACUCCAAAAGAAAACAGCAAUCGACCAUGGAGAUGGCUGAUGUUCGUGGACGAACUCCCCGAGAUGCCCGGGCUUCGAGGAUAUAGAGUCAGGGAUGGCGUUCCGGCCGCUGGUAAUCUCACAAUCGGCAUGUACGAGAAGACAUGGGUUGUUCCCGUAAACCCUGCCCUUGUUAAUUAUUUAUUUUUUUCGGCCCAUGGUUUUUGAGCCGGUGAGUGGUGAGCUAUCGGUCCACCGGCGGAGCUGCGGAUCCAUCCCUAGACCAUCGAGGACUCUGAUCCAAUCAUCUCAUUCCAGCUAGUUCGUCUAAUAUCUGAUAAUUUCUUUUAGGUGCAAAAGUUUUUUUUUCUUUUCCGGUGAAUGAAAGAUCUAGGUGCAAAAGUUACAUAGAGAAAUCGCAAUUAGAAUAGUUAGAGAGGACGAUCCAUUUUCUUUGAUUGCAAACUCCGGUGCUAAUUUUCUCCGAGAUUUGGACCAGCAGUCACGGAAAAAUAUUCAUUGCAACAGUGAUAUUACAUUGUAUUUAUCAUAAUCAAUAAAAAUUUUUAUAUUUUAAUUAUUUUAAUAUAUUUUAUUAAUUUUUGUGAAUAAUAUAUUUCAUAUUAUUUUUUUAUAUUUUAUAAAUUUUUAAUUUUUUAUUAAUUUAUUAUUAAUAUGAUGUGGUAUCAUCGUUAUAAUAAAUAUUUUUUUUUGAAGCACACACCGUUCAAGGCUAAUGUUCUCCAUGUCUCAGUCUCUUACCUGGCAUCCCUGUUUUCUCGAAUGCUUUUUGGGAGGAAAAUAAAAUUAAAAUAAUAUUUUUGAGUUAAAUACUGUCUAAAUGCUAAGCAGCCUUGUGCUCCAAAAAAUCAUGAGUUUUCGAGAUAAAAAUAAACAACACAGACGAGUAGAGUUAGCAGAUAUUUGGGUUAGUUUAUUCUGCAACAAGUGAAAGGCCUGUGCAGUGUGAGGAAGAGAAAAAUUAAAAAAGAGGGCCUGUGCAAUGUACUGUAAGAAAGCGAUAGUUUCCUUUUUGGAUUUUGAGUAAAGUUUUUCUUUCUUAUUAAUGCAUCGGCAAGACAUGAUUGCCAUAUAUCAUCAUUCGUUUUAGUUCGACACCCUAUUUUGUUACCUGCACUCUCUCCUCCAUCUUUUAUUUACCUGUCGCGUUGGUGUCUGUAAUAGGAAAAUCAACACUACUAUAAUUCCCCCUCUUAGACCAGUAGUUCCCUAAAAAUUUUAGUAGGUCCACCCUUUUUUCUUUCUAAAUUUUUUUUGUUUUAGAUAUAGUUAGAAUUGAGCCAAAUCCAUUGUAUGAUGUAGCGGUAUUUUAUUAUCAUAAAAUAUAAUUACCCUCAUUUACUUAUUUAUUUAUUUAAUUUAUUUUAUCAGGCCGUUCGGAUUUCUCCAUGGACGAUGAUUUCAUUGAUUUCUUAUAUUAUUAAUUUUUAACUUUACCCUUUUUUAUUAUAUAUAUAUAUAUAUGACAGUAGUUCCACCGGGACCUCCCCCACUCGCUGGUCUCCCGCACUUUCUCUCUGUUUUUUGUUUUUUCGUUUAAUUCGCUGCAAAAAUCAAAAUAGUCACUGAGAUAUGAUCGUUAUGAUAAUUGUUCCCUGCGCACGAAUCACAAUGUCCAUUUGUAGACGGUCAGCUGGUGGCUGUCACCUCACACGUGACUCGUCAGAGGAUCUGAUUGCUCUUUUUUUUUUUUGGUUGUAUAAACGUUUGCUCCGGGGUUGGACGCUAGCGGAAGAGAGAUUCUUGGUUAGUCUAUCAUAAAUGCUGCGGAUAAAAUCAAUAAAAAAAUUCUGCAGCACUACUUUGACAGAAUUAAAUACAUACGUUACAGAUUAUGAUUUUUUUAUGGACUUUAUCUACAUCAUUUGCAGUAGUCUACCAAGAAUUUCUCCUAGUAGAGACAUGGCAUGGUGAAACGCAGCAUGGUCAGCUUUGUGAGAAAAAUAAAAUAAAAUAAGAUAACACGACAAGAUUAGACAUCAUAAUAUUUAAUAGUUAAAUGUAAAAGUAUUUCAAAAUUGAAGCACUCAAUGUCCAUAGCUCCGCAUUUCUUCUUGUUUGGUUAAAACGUCACGGCCUCUCGUUAUGACAUGGGUCCAAUCCCAUAUCGUUCCCGUAUGUCAAUUAUAAUAUGUAGGUCUGGUGCUGUCUAAAAAUAAGUGUACCAAAUCCCGUGUUCUGGAUAGUAACUUCCCGCGCGCGAGGGUUUCCACUGCCAUCGUUGAGUCUCCACUAGAUGAGGUCUUGGCCACACCAACGCAAUGUUACACACCUGACAUGAAGAUGUCAUCUCGUUCUUGCAUCGGGAUGUCAUAUCGUUCUUUUCUUGGUUCUCACUGGCCUGUCAUAUUUAGUUAGGAGCAAUUCUACCUGACCCUACCCUGUAAUCCAAAGUUGAAAAUAAGAGCACUAGGAGGUUUUUUGGGAUGCUGUUGCAGUCAACUUUUCAUCAUCGUCAAAAAUAAAUAUAUACAAAAUAAUAUUUAUAUAAAUUAAAUUUAUAUUUGAUAAAAAUCUUUCGAUAUGUAAGUUAGAAAAAAAAAUUGAUGAACAGAAACUGAAUAUAAACAGUCGCAGAGCUUUUGCCUGGCAUAAGUUUAUCAGUCUUAUUUUCUUUAUCCCCUUUUUAUAUAUGAAAUUUUCGUAACCAUCGAAUGUAGUCCCAUAUUUUACGACGCUAAAUCAUCGGACCAUAAUCACAUAGUAGAUUGUUAAUUCCCACUGAUCGCGCCGUGAUAUGCGGUCAGUAACCGUUGGUGACGGUUAUGAUAUAUUAAGCAGAUUGACCGACCAUAUGUCGGUAGGUUCCAUAAGGGACCAUCGACUAGUAGUUCUGUUAUGUCGAUGAUCUAAGUUGUCUGCUGUCGAUUGAUAAAAAUCGAAUCAUUAAUCGGUCAGCUGGUUAUAGGUCAGUGCGGUUCGUUCAAUUGAUCUAUGAAGAAUCGGAACCACAUAUUUAGUCGACGUAGAGUCGGAAUUGUAUGUCCAUUCGGUUGACUGUUGUUGAGUCGGAGUCGAUAGUCGGUUGCAUUGCAUCGGGGGUCGAUUGACUUACCCCAACGUUGUCCUCCACUCCCAAGUCCAAGGUGAGUCGACGUGUAUAUUACCACGUAAUUUAUCGCAUUGGACGAAGGGAGUUAUUUAUUGUCACAUCGAAUCUUGAUCGGCUAUUUUAUCGUAUUGGCAGGUAUAGUCAUCUGUCGCACUGACUGGACGAUUUCGUAUCAGUUGUCAGUGUCAGACGUUGUUUCGAAAAGUCGAUUCGAUGUUUGACGAUAUGAUUCUGACUAGUGAAUUUGUUUCAUGUAUUCGAAAGUUAUUGGGUCAGAAUUGUUGACGUGGAAAGAGGUGAAGUGACUCAAUCUGAAGCAGGUACGUCGAACCGUCCGAUCAAUGGUCGAUCCAGAUGUUGUCACGUAUCAUCAUCUGAUAGAUCUUCGAUUGACUGCCUCCAUCUCGAUCAUUGAGGGAUCCUAUAUAUAGGGUCACUCUCAGUCAAAUUUUUACUUUUCACUGCUUUUGCUGCUGGGACUCUGCCGGAUUGUUGUCCCAACAUUCAAAGUUAUCGCUCCCAAUUUUCAGGUUAACUUUAUCUUUCUUUCGAGUAUUUUCUUCUUUCCUCUAAAGUCUUCUGUCUUCUUCAAAGUUAUUCUCGUGGUUAGGGCUUCUCCUUCUUCGGAAGAUCGAUCGGAGAAUCCGACUGAUGAAUCCUAGUCAAGUCUGGAUGUGGAGUCCUCUUCGCUUUCGAGAUCGAAUGUCGAACGGCUCUGAAAAUAAUUUUGUAUCCCGGAGCAGUUUCAACUUUUCGCCCCUAAGGUUAAUGGUUGGAUGAAUAACCCACCUUCGGACCAAGUGGCCUUCUAUGUCGAAGAUCUUCGAACGGGUCUUCGAUUUUUAAUUUUAAAAUUUGUCCGAAAUAUUUUGGAUUAUUACGAACUUUGCCCAACUCAGCUGGCACCGAACUCGGUCCGACUGAUCAUUAGCUUUGCUUUGCUGUGUCGAAUGUUGUCAACCAUACCUCGUCCUUCUCUUUUUCGAGCUUUCUUCAUCCUCCGAUUUCUUUCGAAGGCCUGAGGGUGGUUGUUUUUCAACCCCUGAAACAGCCUUUCCUUUAUCAUCAGUCUUUCAUUUUCCAUUCAUGGAUGGAAGAACCAGUUUUUCUUUGCUUCUUCUUCCCUUGAAAUUUUUUUUCUCGUUGGGGCGAUCCUCGAACAGGUCCCAACGACAACAGUCAGGUAGAGAUCGACGACCAGGAGAACUUUCACCGGUUGAAGGACAUGUCGGUGCCAAAGCAGAAAGAGCUUGUAACCGAACAGGCCCUUUAUGACGCCGGCCUUAGUUCGGUUCCUCAUCGAUGUAUAGUAUAGUUGGUCAGUUAUUUUUGAUUUUUCUUUUACUUGCUGAAUUAUACUGACCUCCGUUGUAAUUGCAGCCAUACAGCAGAGGGUGCAAGUGUCGAAUGCUAACAUUCAUUUGCACGCUGCCAAGAAGAAGACAGCAUCUGAGGUCGGGCCUUCGCGACCAUCGAAGAGGUAUCAAGCACCGGCUCCAAUCGACGUUUCGACGUCAGUCAUGGAACUCGUGUCCCAUCGACAUCGAUUCUUGAACCAGUCUUGGCACUAUCAGCUCCGACAGUGCUCCCUGCUGCAUUGUCUGAGGAAAGGGCGGUGAAGGAAACUAUUGAAACAACAUCGGUAGUUUCGUCACCUGAGGUUCGAGCUGAGGCAAGAGAGCCCGAACAAUCUGCGACUACACCAGUUGCUCCUUCAAUUGGGGCGUAGUCAAGCUCAAGCUUCUCCUCACUUUUAAACAUUAGGCCGUCGACAACAGAUCGGGGGAAGCUCCGGUGGCAUCGGUGGAUGAUGUAGUGUCGGAGGGCCAUAUGGUGCAUUUGAACCUCCAAGUGCCCGUCGAUGAAUCAGCCCUGGCUAAUUCUGUACUGGCCAAGCGAUUGUGCUAGGCAACUCUCCUUCUGAUCGAUCAGAAGUGUUGGAGGAAACAGUCGGUGGUCGAAAUAUUUUCGUUCCUUUACCCGACCAUCAUUGGGGUAAGUCUCUUUGAUAAACUUUCUUUCUUUUUUUUUUAUAAUCCGACCUAUUUUCUGUCUGCAGUUGAUCCACGAUAUGUCUGACCUAGAGGUCGGCUAUACGAAGUUCGCCAACAUCCGCAGCGCGUGGAAGAAUAAGGUGGCAGCCACCGAUGCUGAGAAAGCGGCUGCACUUGAACAACUCAAGUCGGCAGUGGAGCGAAAAGUCAAACUUCAGGAGGAGGUUUUCUGACUCACUGAUAACUUGGCAUCCUUGGGGGCCGAACUUGCAUCGGCUCACGGGGCUAUUUCGGCUUUUGAAUCACAGAUCAAGAGCAAGAAGCAUUCUAUCCACCAGCUUUAAUGAGAGUUAAAUGGAUGCAUCGAAGAACUCGAAGUCGAAUGUGGAUAUCAUCGGACCAGUCUAAAAAGAUUGACACUGGCCGAAGAAAAAUUAUCCUCUGCUCGAGUCGAUGCUGAUUUGGCCAAGGUGGAAGCAGAGUCGGCAAGAGAAGCACUGAGUCAGACAGUUGAGGAUUUUCGAGGUUCGAAAGAAUACAGGAAAGAGAUCCUCGAAAAUGGCUAUGCUUCAUACUGCGUCGGGUAUGAAGACGAUCGAGAUGUGGUCGGAAAACUAUACCCAAAUCUCGACUUGAGCAGCAUCGUCCCUCCAAGAUCAGAAGAUGGAGUUGCUAAAGAAGAAGCCGUUCUGAUUCAAGAAGAAGCCGUUCUGAUUCAAGAAGAAGCACCGACUGAGCCUGAAAUUGUUCAAAUUGAGGAUCCUACACCCGAGCAACGAAAUGAUGAUGAAGCUUAGUCGGUGUAUUUUACUUCUUUUUUUGCAAUCAGAUAUCUGUAAUCGAACUUCGGUCUAAUUUUGUAGCUUCUUGUUUAAGCAAUGAAUGAAAGUAUUUUUUUCUAAGUUUAAACUUUAUUCAUCUGAAAUAUUGUCUGCAAUGUCUGCAAUGUAAAGUAGUCACCGAACAUUAAUCGAUGAUCCAAUCAUUCGGUAAGACUUGUAGAAUAUCUGUUAGUCGCGUAGUCAUUUUGACAUACUUGAUAGAAAUUAAGAUAACGAUUGUAAAUCAAAUAUCCCGUGCCCGACAUUUAGUCAGAUUUGUACGUCGAAUUAUCUGAUAAUAGGUAGCAAGCCGAAUAUCCCUCGACUGGCCGUAGCCUGGUUAGUAUAGUUUCAAUCCGACUUUGAUCGUUUUGACAUUUUAUUCUGCUUAGUUAGAACUAAGUUGGCAUAUUAGUCUCUUAACUGUAGUCAGCUUUUACAAUAAAAAAUCGAUAUUAAAAAUUGAGAUAUAAUCAGUAUUAUGAUUUUUGCAGUGAAAGCCUAUGUAGUCGAUGUCGGUUGAGAUUGCAGUCAGUAUGUCGGUUUUUGCAUGAGAAUCAAAAUACAGUCAUCAUUGAAGUAGUUGAUUCUUCUAUUUUUAUAGUGGAGGCUGAGAUAAACUUCAUGUCAAAGUAUAGUAGAUAGCUCGAUUUUAGUAAUGAAAGUCGAUAUAUAGCCAGUAGUUGAUAAAACUUGUCAAAGGCUUGUGAUUCUGAAAUUCUUAUUAUAUUUUAAAUAAUGUACAUAUCGACACCUUUAUUGAUAAUAUAUCUUCAAAUUGUCAGCAUUUCAUGUUCAGAGAAUUGCUCGAUCCUUUGAGAGUUUCUAGCCGAUAUGUGUUCGGUCUAAGAGUUUUCGAUAUUUUGUAAGAUCCUUCUCAGUUCGGAGAUAAUUUUUUUUGAUCCAGAAGUUUUGAGAUUUCUAUUUUUCUUAAGACCAAAUCUCCUGAUCGAAAAAUCUUGGCUUGACUCUUACGUUGUAAUACGGGGCUAUCCUUUGCUGAUAUGCAGCCAUCCAAACUUGAGCUUGCUGUCGGAGUUCUGAGAGGAGAUCUAAGUCGGCUCUCCAGCAUUCAGAGUUGCUCGGCUCACUGUAUUGUCCCACUCUUGUUGACGGCAAUCCGAUCUCAAGCGGUAUCAUUGCUUGUGUCCUAUAAGCUAAGUUGAAGGGAGAUUCUUCAAUUGGUACGUGGGGAGUCGUUCGACACAUCUAUAAGAUUGGAUAUAAUUCUUCUACCCAGAGAUCUUUAGCUUCAUUCAGUCGGGUUUUUAGUCCAUAUAGGAUUGUCUGGUUGGUUACUUCCACCUCGCCAUUUGACUGUGGAUAGCCAACUGACGUGAGUUUGUACGUAAUAUGGAACUUCGUACAAAACUCUCUGAAAUUUUGGUUGUCAAUAUCGACCAUUAUCAGUGAUGAUGGUGUGUGGUAAAUCAAAUCUAUAAAUGAUGAAUUUCUGAAUGAAGUCUUCUAUCUUACUUUCAGUGAUUUGUGCCAGAGAUUCGGCUUAUACAUAUUUGGUAAAGUAGUCGAUGACGAUCAAUAUAAAUUUUUUUUGUCUAGAUAUCGGGAGAAAAGAGCCAAGUAUGUCAAUCCCCUGUUGUACGAAGGGUUAUGGUGCUACAAUCGACGUCAGCUGACUUGCCGUUUGAUGUUGUAUAUUUGCAUACUUUUAGCAUGAUUCACACCUUCGGACGAGUUUAGCUGCACUUCUUUCAUGAUGGGCCAGUAAUAUUCUUAUCACAGAACUUUAUGAGCUAGAGACUUACCCCCCAAGUGGUUUCCACAUAUCCUUUGGUGCACUUCUCUAAGUGUGUAGUCGGCAUCUGUAGGUCCUAAGCACUUCAGCAAGGGGAGAGAAAAAGAUCUUUUGUAGAGAUGACUAUUCAUUAUUACAUAUUGAGAGGCCAUCCAUCAGAGUCGUUUAGCUUCUGAAGAGUCUGCAGGAAGGGUCUCAUCGAUCAGGUAUUGAACGAUCGGAUCCAUCCAGCUUGCUUCGAUAGUGAGCUGCAAUACCUCCUCGACUUUAUCGAUACUCAAAUGUUCGAGGCAUUCAACAAAUAUCCGAUCCAGCGAGUUGAAAGCAGUGACAGUCAGUCAUGAAAGUAUGUCUGCUCGAGUAUUUUCGAUUCUAGAAAUCUGAAAGAUCUCAAAAUAUUUCAAGCUUGCAGUAAAAUCUUUCACCUUCUGAAGGUACUUCAUCAUAAUGGGGUCGCGGGCUUCAAAUUCAUUUUUGAUCUAUCCAGCAAUCAGUUGUGAGUCGGUGAAGACCUUCAAACUGUAAAUCUCAAGCUCCUUGACUAUUUUCAAGCCGAUCAAAAGUGCUUCAUAUUCGGCUUAAUUAUUUGAGACUUUAAAGUUGAACCGAAGGGCAUAUUCAGUAACUACCCCUUCGAAAUUAUGAAUAUGAGGUCAGCUCCACUACCUUGUGCAUUAGAUGCACCAUCAAUGUGCAGCACCCAGGUCGACUUUGAGUCGGAUUUGAAAAUCGUAGCCUUUUUUAUUAUGUUGUCAUCUGUAUCUUCUGGCUUAUUGUCGAAUAUAGUAUAUUCGAUGAUAAAAUCGGCUAGAACUUGCGCCUUCAUAGAUGGUCAUGGGUGAUAUUGAAUGUCAAACUCAUCAAGCUUCACUCCCACUUUAUCAUCCGACCUGAAGUGUCAGGUCAAUGUAAGAUUGCCUUCAGCGGCUGAUCUGUCAGACCACAAUCGAAUUGGCUUGGAAGUACGGACGAAGUCGCUAUGCCGAUAUGAUUAGGGCGUAAAUUAUUUUCUCCAUUCUUGAGUAUCGGACUUCGGCAUUGUGAAGUACUUUGUUGGUGUAGUAGAUUGAUCGAUGGAUUCGAUUCUCAUCUUUCUGGACGAGCACCGAACUAACCACUUCUGUCGAAGUUGCCAAGUAGAGAUACAAUAUUUCUCCGACCCUUGGUUUUGUGAGCAAAGGUGGAGAAGCCAAGUAUUAUUUCAGAUCUUUGAAGGAUUGUCGGCAUUCAUCCAACCAUGAGAAAUCUUUCGUCUGUCGCAAAAUUUUGAAGAAUGGCAAGCAUCUCUUGGCCGACCUAGAAAUAAAUCAGCUGAGUGCAGCAAUCCUUUCAUUGAGUUGCUGUAUCUCUUUCUUCGAGCUUGGAUGCUUCAUAUUGAUAAUGGCUUUGAUUUUUUCGGGAUUAAUCUUGAUUCCUCAUUGUGAAACAAAAAAUUUGAAGAAUUUUUUGAAGGUUACCCCAAAUGCACACUUAGUCAGGUUUAAUUUCAUCUGAUGCCGUCGGAGUGUGUCGAAAGCUUCCUCCAGGUCCCGAACAUGAUCUGAAGUUUGGGAGCUGUUCACCAGCAUGUCGUUCACAUAUACUUCCUUGUUUCAUCCGAUCUGUGUCUUGAAUAUCUUGUUGACAAGCCGUUGAUAGGUAGCACCGGCAUUUUCAAAGCGAAAGGCAUUACUUUGUAGCAGUAUAUGUCUUUGUCGGUCAUAAAAGCCGUAUGCUUUUUAUUUUCUGGUGCCAUACGGAUUUGAUUAUAUCCAACGAAGGUAUCCAUGAAACUCAAAAGUUGGUGGGCAGAAGUCGCAUCAACCAAUUGAUCAAUUUUUGACAACGAGAAGCUGUCUUUCGGAUAAGCUACAUUCAGAUCAGUAUAGUCGAUGCAUAUCCUUCACUUUCCAUUGACUUUUCUUACCAUUACCACAUUGGCAAGCCAGUUGGGAUAUGUAGCUUCUCUAAUGAAACUUGCUGCGAGGAGUUUGUCGACUUCUUCAUCAAUGACUUUUUAUCUUUCAGGAGCAAAAUGUCGCUUUUUCUGUCUCACCGGCUUAACAUUUGAGUUGAUGUUAAGUCGGUGAGUUAUUAUUUUUGAAGGAAUCCCAGACAUAUCGGUGGUCGACAAGCAAAAAUAUUGGUAUUGGCUCUAAGUAAUUUUAUUAGUUGUUGCCACUUUGAGUCGGAUAGUUGUGAUCCAAUUUAUUUAUCGGUCAGCCGGUCAUAGGUCGGUGCAGUUCGUUCAAUUGAUCGAUGAAGAAUCGAAAUCGCAUAUUCAGUCGAUGUAGAAUCGAAGUUAUAUGUUCGAUUGAUCGACUGUUGUUGAAUCAAAAUUGAUAAUCAGUUAUACUGUAUCGAAGGUUGAUUGAUUUAUCCCAAUAGAUGCCAUCAAUGUGACACGGUAGCGUCACAAGCCGCUCAAACCGGUAUGUUUUCUAUAUUUGUAAGGAUUUUUCUUUUAGUCGUUUGAUUGUUCCUUUGUUCUAAAGUCUUCUGCUACUUCUCCCUCUUAACAUCUGUAUCAGCAGUGGGGCACCCACCACCAGUCAUAUUUAAAUCCGCCACUGCCUUCAACAUUUAUCUUGGACUUUCCCACCUAACUUGUGCACCACCAGUGCCUCCAUUUUGUCCACCACUAAACCAAGAUGGCAAACAUUUGCAUCACUGAAAAAUCACCACCAUUAUAACCAAAUCCAAUCAGAUUCUUGUGAUGUGUUUCUAGUCAGAGUGGACAUGUACGUCUCUGACUGAUCGUCAGAGUGGAAAGCUAGUAGUCUCUCUCUUUUUGGAGAAACUGAACCAAAAAAAAAAUAUAUUAGCCUUCUAAUUAAUUUCUUGCUUUUUCUUCCUUUUUUUUUUUUUUUGAUAGUUUAAACUAACUUCUUGCUUGUAUUUACUAGGGUUUUAAUUAACUUCUUGCCUGUAUUUAUAGUUUGUUAAAAGAAUUUGAACUGACUAUAUUAUUUUUUCAAAUUGCAAUGCAGAUUUUAGAUCAUGAAGAUAACGAAAUGAUGAGGCCCUUAAAGCUCAUAUCUUGAGAGAUCAGGCACUAUUGAUGGAUCAAAAGGUCAGGUUCUGUCUAAACGGAUAUUGAAUUAAUAAAGGAGAAAAGCAAUCAUGCUAUUUAUCAUAGUAAAUUAAGUAUCUAAAGAUUAUAUUUGCCAGGUUGCAACCAUAAUAUCAAAUGUGAUUAACUUUUACAGAGCUAACAAAAAUGACUACUAAUACAAACAUUUCGAGUGGAGAUUCGGCGCAAUGCAUACCAACCAGCAAGACACUACAUAUACCGAGUACUGAAUGAGUAGUUGGUGUGCAUAGAAACCAUUGACACUAUAUUUAAAUAAAUUACAAAUGCUGCCAACCAUAUUGUAUAUACUCUAGAAUGUUCAAAUACCUGUGCUUAAAUUGUAUUAGGCCAUGACGAUAAGUAUAUUUUAAGGAGUUAAGAUUAUGGAGGUUCGCACUAUUUUAAAGAAAAUGCAACACCGAAGAAUUAUCUUAGAAUUAGCUUUCUCUCCACCAGUCUUAGCUUAGCUAAUUCCCACUUGCCGUAUGGGAGAAGCUCAAGAUUCAAAUCGCAUGUCCAGUCUUAUUUCUUUCAAAAAAAGAAAGAAAUAGUGGUAGUUUUUCGGCUCCUUCGGUCGCACCUUUCCAGUUGAAAUUACAAGGCGUUUGUUUAAGCACGGUUUGAAUUGGACAGUUUGCAGCAGAUAUCGACACAAAUGUAGCUAUCAAUUUCUAAAAUGAUGCUCAUCACCAAUAUGUGAAAACUGGCAUGAAUUUAAAAAAGAAAUGUGAAGAUUUAUUAAAAUGAGUAAUACUAUAAAUGAAUCGAUUACAUUAUACAUAUAGAUACCACGGCAUAUAGAAACUAGAAACGACAUGAAGACGUGGAUGCAUGCUUUAAUAAGUUACAGUAUUUCAUAAAACUUCUCUCACAGGGACCACUAGUUAAAACCCCAUAAAUACCUAGGUACAAUACUUAGAACUUUCUAACUCCAAAAACAAUAACCAUGCAGGGCUAUUAGAUCACAAUCAGACAUAUGCUUCAUCCAAUUCCUAGGAUUUCCAAUCCUUCUGCACCCACUGGUGACCAACAAAGGUUUUGCUUGUAUGACUAGCGUCUUUCUUCAAGGAAGCAUCUUUAUCGGCCGAUUCAUAGCAUUGUCCUCAUGAUCCAAUAUCUGCAAAAUAGAUAUGCGAGUGAGUGAGUAAAUCCAUCUUAGGCAUUAGGAACAAAGAUGGGCUUAAAGCAUGGCUGAUAGUAAUCACUUGGGCCGGCUUGGCAGGGCAAGCUGGUUUAAUCUUGAGGGUCAAAUAGAUCAGGCUGAGAUCAACUUUCUUAUGGGCUAAGAAUGCGCGUGUAUUGUCUUAUGCGCGUCCACUUUGACUAGUAUCCCCUGCAAGCCUAAUGCCUAAAAUGUACGGAUCCUCUGCGUUGCGAUACAUGCAGUGCGUGAUUCCAUACAACUGUCCAUCAUACGAUGGAUAAUAUGUAUGAUACAUUGUAUUAAAUGGUGCAUCGUGUGUACAGCAGAGGAUCCACACCCAAGGCUAAAACCACCAUUACAGACUCACUGGUUGUGCCUAUCUUGAAGAUUAUAUAUCAUGCCCCCGAUCCGAGAUUUUGAAUCGAGGGUCAUGGCAACCACCGCAUACUCAUAGAAAACUCUUCCCAUAAGCAUGCAAGGCAUCUUAUCAUACUAUCCUAAAACAACAGCGGAAUAAUUAANNNNNNNNNNNNNNNNNNNNNNNNNNNNNNNNNNNNNNNNNNNNNNNNNNNNNNNNNNNNNNNNNNNNNNNNNNNNNNNNNNNNNNNNNNNNNNNNNNNNNNNNNNNNNNNNNNNNNNNNNNNNNNNNNNNNNNNNNNNNNNNNNNNNNNNNNNNNNNNNNNNNNNNNNNNNNNNNNNNNNNNNNNNNNNNNNNNNNNNNNNNNNNNNNNNNNNNNNNNNNNNNNNNNNNNNNNNNNNNNNNNNNNNNNNNNNNNNNNNNNNNNNNNNNNNNNNNNNNNNNNNNNNNNNNNNNNNNNNNNNNNNNNNNNNNNNNNNNNNNNNNNNNNNNNNNNNNNNNNNNNNNNNNNNNNNNNNNNNNNNNNNNNNNNNNNNNNNNNNNNNNNNNNNNNNNNNNNNNNNNNNNNNNNNNNNNNNNNNNNNNNNNNNNNNNNNNNNNNNNNNNNNNNNNNNNNNNNNNNNNNNNNNNNNNNNNNNNNNNNNNNNNNNNNNNNNNNNNNNNNNNNNNNNNNNNNNNNNNNNNNNNNNNNNNNNNNNNNNNNNNNNNNNNNNNNNNNNNNNNNNNNNNNNNNNNNNNNNNNNNNNNNNNNNNNNNNNNNNNNNNNNNNNNNNNNNNNNNNNNNNNNNNNNNNNNNNNNNNNNNNNNNNNNNNNNNNNNNNNNNNNNNNNNNNNNNNNNNNNNNNNNNNNNNNNNNNNNNNNNNNNNNNNNNNNNNNNNNNNNNNNNNNNNNNNNNNNNNNNNNNNNNNNNNNNNNNNNNNNNNNNNNNNNNNNNNNNNNNNNNNNNNNNNNNNNNNNNNNNNNNNNNNNNNNNNNNNNNNNNNNNNNNNNNNNNNNNNNNNNNNNNNNNNNNNNNNUUUUGCUUCUUUUUCCCUUUUUUUUCUUUUUUUUCUUUUCUUUUUCUUUUUCUUUUCCUUCUUUUUCUUUUCUUUUUUUCUUUUUCUUUUCCUUCUUCUUCUUCUUCUUUUUCUUUUCUUCUUCCCGUGGGCUUGUUUUUGAUCGAAACAGGAGAUCUUUGAUCCCCUCAUUGGUUGGUCGGUCGGCGGCGCAGCCGGCACGAGGAUGGUCGGCGGCCGAAAGAGAGGUGAUCCGGCGGCAAGAGGCGGCCAAACCGGUGGUCGGCGGUGACCACCGGCGACGAAAAAAUGGCAAAAAAGAAGAUUCUUCCGCAACAAAAUCUGGCGACUCCGGUCGCUGGCGAGCGUGCACAUCGGCACGGAAAGGAAGGGAGAGGAGAGAGAAAGGGGAGGAGGCUUACCUCCGUCGCUGGCGAAGCUUUUCCGGCGAGAAAUUGGAUGGCACAGUGACGGGUCUCCACGAGGAAUUUUCGGCGAUUGCCGCCGUUUUGCCCCAGGAUUCUUUGGUAGGAAGAAGGAAGAAGGGUCUCCCCUUUAAAUAGAAUCGGAGGAGAGGAGUUUGACUCCUCUCCGAUGAGGUUUCUGACUCCGAUUAGGAGCCGGUCGGGAGAAGAAGACUCCCUGCGGGAGUCUUCUUCAUUUUUUUUUCUUUUGUUUGGACUUUGGAUUCGUUGCUUGGGCCGGGCCUCACAUUAUAUUUUUUAAGUCCUCUUGUAACAGAUUACUAUAUCCACUCGGACCUAACUGGAUCAGGUUUCAUUCAGAAAUUUCCUUCUCAGACCCGCACCCUAGCCGUAAAUUUAAACUUGGUUCACGGAUCUGCGAUCUUUUUGACCUACUGAAUUUGCUUUCAAUAUCGUGGAUGCUGAUGGGUCAGACCAAUUAAGAGAGUGUUUGAUUGUACAUUUUGAUUUUUAAUUUUUAAUUUUUAAUUUUUAAAUAUAAUACAUGUAAAAGACAUAAAUAUAAAGUUCUUCGAAUAUAGACCAUGGUAUGCUAUAAUUUUAACCAAAAUAUAAUAAUUUUAACUUAAAAUAUCAUAAUUGUUAAUCUAGAAUGUCAUAAUACUGUCAUAAUAUCGAUUUAGAAAAUCAAAAUUUUGACUUAAGAUAUCGUAAUAUUGUCAAAACAAUCAUCAGGAGGUAUUUUACCUAGAAGAUGUCAUAAUUUUAACAUAGAAUGCUAUAAUUUUGAUCCAAAAUAUCAUAAAAUUAUCAAAAAAAUUAAUUUUGAGGUGUUUUAUAUAUAAGAUGUCAUAAUAUUAAUCUAAGAUAUCAUAAUUUUAACCGAAGAUAUCAUAAUAUUGUCAAAACUAUCUUUGAAAGAUAUUUUACCUAAAAGAUAUCAUAAUUUUAACAUAGAAUAUCAUAUUCUUGAUUUAGGAUAUUAUAAAAUUAUCAAAAAAUAUUAAUUUUAAAAAAUUUUACCUUCUACAUGCCAUAAUAUUAAUCUAUAAUAUUAUAAUUUUAAUCUGGUAUGUCAUAAUAUUAUCAUAAAAUUAUCAAAAGUAUCAAUUUUAAGAUAUUUUAUCUUCUAAAUGUCAUAAUAUUAACCUAAAAUAUAUAUCAUAAUUUUGAUCUAGGAUAUCAUAACAUUGUCAAAACUAUCUUUGUGAGGUAUUUUACUUACAGAAUAUCAUAAUUUUAAUAUAUAAUAUCAUAAUUUUGAUUUAAGAUGUCAUAAGCUUAUCAAAAUUAUCUUUAUAAGAUAUUUUACUUAUAGGAUGCUAUAAUUUUAACAUAGAAUAUCAUAAUUUUGAUGUAGAAUAUCAUAAAAUUAUUAAAAAAUAUUAAUUUUAAGAUAUUUUAUCUUUUAUAUAUCAUAAUAUUAACAUAAAAUAUCAUAAUUUUGAUUUAGAAUAUCAUAAUAUUAUUAUAAAAUUAUUAAAAAAUAUUAAUUUUGAGGUAUUUUAUCUUUUGGAUGUCAUAAUAUUAAUCUAAAAUAUUAUAAUUUUGAUCUAAAAUAUCAUAAUAUUAUCAAAACUAUUUUUAUGAGAUAUUUUACUUGCAGAAUGUCUAAAUUUUAAUAUAAAAUAUCAUAAUUUUAAUUUAAGAUAUCAUAAAAUUAUCAAAAAAUAUCAAUUUUAAUAUAUUUUAUAUAUCUUGUGUAUAUUAUAAUAUUAAUCUAGAAUGUCAUAGUUUUGAUCUAGGAUGUGAUGAUAUUAUCAUAAAAUUAUCAAAAAAUAUUAAUUUUGAGAUGUUUUACCUUCUGGAUAUCAUAAUAUUAAUCUAUAAUAUCAUAAUUUUGAUUUAGAAUAUCAUAAUAUUGUUGAAACUAUCUUUAAGAGAUGCUUUACCUAUAGGAUGCCAUAAUUUUAAUAUAGGAGUCAUAAUUUUAACAUAAGAGUUAUAAUUUUAAUAUAAAAUAUUAUAAUUUUGAUCUAAGAUAUCAUAAAAUUGAUAAAAAAUUAUCAAUUUUGAGUUAUUUUACCUACAGGAUAUCAUAAUAUUAAUCUAAAAUAUCAUAAUUUUGAUCUAAAAUAUUAUAAUAUUAUUAAAAUUAUUUUUAAAAGAUAUUUUAUCUACAAGAUAUCAUAAUUUUAAUAUAAAAUAUCAUAAUUUUGAUCUAGAAUACUAUAAACUUAUUAAAAAAUAUUAAUUUUAAGAUAUUUUUAUCUUUUGAAUAUCAUAAUAUUAGUCUAGAUUAUCAUAAUUUUGAUGUAGAAUAUCAUAAUAUUAUCAAAAUUAUCUUUGAAAUAUAUUUUACCUAUAGAAUAUCAUAAUUUUAAUAUAAAAUAUAAUAAUUUUAACAUAAAAUAACAUAAUUUUGAUUCAGGAUAUCAUAAUAUUGAUAAAAAAUAUUAAUUUUGAGUUGUUUUACCUAUAGAAUGUCAUCAUAUUAAUUUAAAAAAUUAUAAUUUUAAUUUAAGAUAUUAUAAUAUUAUCAAAAUUAUCAUUGAUAGGUAUUUUACUUAUAAGAUGUCAUAAUUUUAAUAUAAAAUAUGAUAAUUUUGAUCUAAGAUACCGUAAAAUUAUCAAAAAGUAUCAAUUUUGAAGUGCUUUAUCUUCUGGAUGUCAUAAUAUUAACAUAAAAUAUUAUAAUUUUGAUUUAGAAUAUCAUAAUAUUAUCAAAAUUAUCUUUGAAAGAUAUUUUAUCUAUUGGAUAUCAUAAUUUUAAUAUAAAAUAUCAUAAUUUUUAUCUAAAAUAUCAUAAAAUUAUUAAAAUAUAUCAAUUUUGAUAUAUUUUACUUUUUGAAUGUCAUAGUUUUAACAUAAAAUAUCAUAAUUUUGAUCUAUAAUAUUAUAAAAUUAUCAAAAAAUAUCAAUUUUGAGAUAUUUUAUCUUUUGGAUAUAAUAAUACUAAUAUAAAAUAUCAUAAUUUUGAUCUAAGAUGUUAUAAUAUUAUCAAAACUAUUUUUAGAAGAUAUUUUAUCUAUAAAAUAUCAUAGUUUUAAUAUAGAAUAUCAUAAUUUUGAUCUAAAAUAUCAUAAAUUGAUAAAAAAUAUAAAUUUUGAGAUAUUUUACCCACAUGAUGUCAUAAUAUUAACUUAAAAUAUUUUAAUUUUGAUCUAGGAUACCAUAAUAUUAUCAAAACUAUCUUUGAAAUAUAUUUUACCUACAGGAUGUCAUAAUUUUAAUAUAAAAUAUCAUAAUUUUGAUAUAGAAUAUCAUAAAAUUAUUAUAAAGUAUCAAUUUUAAGAUGUUUUAUCUUUUAGACAUCAUAAUAUUAACUUAAAAUAUUAUAAUUUUAAUUUAGGAUAUCAUAAUAUCAUCAAAACUAUCUUUGAGAGAUAUUUUAUCUAUAGGAUGUUAUAAUUUUAAUAUAAAAUAUCAUAAUUUUGAUCUAUAAUAUCAUAAAAAUAUCAUAAAAUAUACUUGAAAGAUAUUUUAUCUAUAGAAUAUCAUUAUAUUAAUCUGUAAUAUCAUAAUUUUGAUUUAGAAUAUCAUAAUAUUAUUAAAAUUAUUUUUAAAAAAUAUUUUUUUAUAGGAUGUUAUAAUUUUAACCUACAAUAUCACAAUAUGAAUCUAUAAUGCUAUAAUUUUUGCUUUAGAUGUCAUAAUAUUAUAAAAAACUAUCUUGAAUAGAAAUCAUGACAUCCUGGCUUAUUAUAUAAUUUUUUGAAAAAAAUUAUAUAUAUGACACGCUGUAUUCAGAACUAAAAAAAGAAAAACUCCAUUUAAACCUAUCAAAUGAAUUGUUGUAAUAAAGGAACUACAAAAAAAAUUGUAAUAAAGGAUUUACAAAUGGUAUUUCACUUUCUAAUGGUUUGGAUAUAUUAUUUAGAUAGACAAUAUUAUCCAAAUAUUAGCCAAUAGCCUCGAAUGUACAAUUCUCAUCGCAGAAUAAAUCUCGGACAUCUAGACAUUAAGGCAAAAGCUUAACAAAAUAAAAAAAAUGAGAGAGAGAAGAGCCGCAUUCGUAAUGUCCAUCCCGACUUCAAAAUAGUAAAAAUAUUUUAUUUUGAAGGCAAAAAGGGUAUUUUAGUUAUAUUUAAUUUAAAAAAUAAGCUAUGACGUGCAUUAAAUAUAUUCGACGAUGGAAUAAUGCACUGCCUCUAAUUUUUUUAAGCCUUCAAAUAUCUGAUUUGACAUAAAGUGACAUCUAUCACAUCAUACCACGAGGACGCUAUGUAGAUCAAUUAGAUAAUACGAUGCGCUCCACAUCAAAUUUUCUACACUGUAGGCAGUGUACAAAGAAUUUCACAAGAUGAAAAGGGGUCUCAAUUUUUCAAAAAGCUAUUUGCAUACGGCAAAUCGUGCAUCCUCUUAGAUCUAAUCGCAGGUUGGGCUUGAGCCUAGAAAAUAUUAAAUUUUAUAUAAAUUUGAUCUGAAGCUUGAUUAGAAAUGAAUAGAGUUUAGAUUCAAACCUCAGCCCAUGAUCAGCUCUACUUACAAAACCACAUUCAUGUGUCCGCUAGUAGCUGCUGGUGCAACCUACACCUAUGAAAGCUCUCCAAAGUCCAAUUAUUUUCACAUCAAGUGUCAUAUGACCUCCUCAAUACUUCAAUCUUAAAAAAAAAAAAGUAAAAACUCCCAAUAAGUCCUACUUUCGAAUAAAAAAAAUAUAUCAUUGUGUUCUACUUUUGAAAAAACAAAAAUAUCAUUCUUUAUGCAAUCAAUUUAAUGAAUUCUUCAAUUAGCUCUGUUCAUAUAUGCUACAGUUUUGGGUUACUAUAAAUGUAACCUUGAGAUAGUCUCAUAACGCAUCGUCCGUGUCAAAAAAAAUUUAUCGUUGCAAUCAAGCUUUACCUAGCGACAGUCACUACAAGAAAAGAGAGUUUUUAUAAUGAAUUUAUUGACGAUGAAAAUAUUUUCAUUAUCAAUAAGAUUAUUUAUGAUGAAAAAUUAAAUUCAUUGUUAAUAAUAAAAUAUUUAUGAUAAAAAUUUAUUUUCAUCAUAAAUAGCUUCAUAUUUGUGAUGAAAAAAAAAUUUUAUCAUAAAUAUCUAUUAUUUAUGAUGAUAUUAAUCAUCAUGAAUAAUAAAAUAUUUAUUUUAAUUUUAAAUUUUUAAAUAUUAAUGAUGAAAAUAAUUUUAUCAUAAAUAAUAUAAGUAUUUGUGAUGAAAGCUCAUUUUUCAUCGCAAAUACUAGUUAUUUACAAUGAAAAAUUUUUAUCACUAAUAUUUGAAAGAAAAUAAAAAAUUUAAAAAUUAUAAAUUAUUUACAAUGCAAAUAUUACAUUGUAAAUAAUAAAGUAUUGAUGAUAAAAAUAAAAUUUUUCAUCAUAAAUACCUAUUAUUUAUGACGAAACUUUUUUCAUCGCUAAUAUGUGAAAAAAAUAAAAAAUUUAAAAAAUUUAAAAAUUAUAGAUUAUUUGUAACAAAAAUAUUACAUCAUAAAUACUUGAAUAUUGAUGAUAGAAAGUCAUUUUUUAUUGCCAAUACUAAUUAUUUAUGAUGAAAAAUUUUCAUCACUAAUACGUGAAAAAAAUAAAAAAUUUAAAAAUUUAAAAAUUAUACAUUAUUUAUGAUGAAAAUAUUACAUCAUAAAUACUGGAGUAUUGGCGAUGGAAAGUCAUUUUUCAUCGUCAAUACUCUACUAUUUACGAUGAAAAAUUUUUAUCAUUAAUAUUUAAAAAAAUAAAAAAUUAUAAAAAUUAUAAAAAUUAUAAAUUAUUUACGAUGAAAAUAUUAUAUCAUAAAUAACUUAGUGUUUGCGAUAAAAAUAUAUUUUUCAUCAUAAAUAAUCUAUUAUUUAUAAUAAAAAAAUUAAAAAUUGAUCAUUAUUUGCGAUAAUACUUUUCAUUUCUAAGUUUCUUUGAAUCUGUCUCAUUGUUUAAUUUUACAUAGAUUGUUGGUUCCAUGAACCGACAAAGGUCACAAAGUAUAAAGACCUUGUAUCUGUCCAAAAAUAUAAAAAGAAGAUGAUACUAGAUCUUUAUAUGUUAAAAUAUGAUCUACAAAAAAGUUAUUCAUAUGGUACUUAAUCUUUAUACAUUAAAAUAUGAUACUAGAUCUCAAUUAUUUACGAUAAAAAAUUUUUAUCAUUAAUAUUUAAAAAAAUAAAAAAUAAAAAAUUAUUGAUUAUUUAUAAUAAAAAUUCAUCAUUGAUAUUUUUUAAAAAAUAAAAAAUUUAAAAAUUAUAAAAAUUAUAAAUUUUUUUGUGAUGAAAUGCAAGAAAUAUCGUAAAUACUUCAUAUACUUAAACUUUCAACUGUAUAAAAAAUAAAAGUUUAUCAACUAUUCGAUGGACUAAAUUGUGUCAUAUACUUCUAAACUGCAUGCAGAAGGCCUUUGCUAGAUCCUUCAGUAUUAUUUUUGAAGAGUAUAUUCAUGAUCUUAAUUGGUAUGCGAUGAUUGUUUGUCGCAGAUACUCUCUAACUAGCUGUAUUCUUAUUAUUGCUAUUCAGUUCAAGAUUUAUUCUAAGAUUGACAUACUCUUGGGCAGAUAUUAUCCUUUUUACUAUGCUCCUUUUGUAUCGGAUCUCAAGGGUCUUAGCUGCUUGCAGAUUAAAUUUGAGUUCGGAUGUCCAUUCAAACCUUUCGAUCAACUCAUGGCAGUGUUACCAUCAAAAAAGUAAAUCUAAUUACUUAGAUUUUUUAAUUAUAAAUUAUAUUUGAUUAUUAGUUAAUAGUCUAAUAAGAUUAUUAAUGAUUAAAAUUUAAUUUUCAUUGUAAAUAAUUUUUUUAAUAAGAUUUUUUAAGAGAAAAAAUUUUUUUAAUAAAAUUUUUUUUAUUUUUUUGAUAGAAUUAUUGACGAUGAAAAAUUAGUUUUCGUAACAUUAUCGACGAUGAAUAUUUUUCAUCGUAAAUAUUUUUUUUAUUUUUUGACAAGAAUUAUUAGCGAUGAAUAUUAUUUUUUGUUGCUAAUAAGAUAAUUAACGAUGAAAUAUUUUAUUUUUAUCUUAAAUAAUUUUUUAAAAAAUGAGAAUAUUUUUUUUUGAUGAAAAUUAUUAGCGAUGAAAAUUAUUUUUCCAUCGCUAAUAAUAUUAUUAGCGACGAUAAUUUUUUUUCAUCAUAAAUAAUUUUUUUUUGUGGCAAAAUUUUUUUAUCGAAGAAAUUUUUUUGGUGGGAAGAGAAUUUUUUUAGCGAGAAAAUGGGAGAAAUUUUUUUUUGGCGAGAAUUAUUAACGAUAAAAAAUAUUUUUUCAUCGCUAAUAAGGUUAUUAGCGACGAAAAAUUAUGUUUUGUCGCAAAUAAUUUUUUUUGUGGCAAAUUUUUUUUUAUCGAAGAAUUUUUUUUGAAUUAUUAGUGAUAAAAAUUAGUUUUCAUCGCUAAUAAUAUUAUUAGCAACAAAAAAUUACAUCACUAAUACUCUUACUUUCAUCAACAUCAAAUCGACGUCUCUUUGUGCGAAACCGCUUGAAACCCUUAUUUCCCCCACCCCCCCUCUCUUCUUUCCCUGACCUCUCUCCCUCUCCCUCUCCCUGAGCUCUCCUCUCUCCAUGCUCUCCCCUCCNNNNNNNNNNNNNNNNNNNNNNNNNNNNNNNNNNNNNNNNNNNNNNNNNNNNNNNNNNNNNNNNNNNNNNNNNNNNNNNNNNNNNNNNNNNNNNNNNNNNNNNNNNNNNNNNNNNNNNNNNNNNNNNNNNNNNNNNNNNNNNNNNNNNNNNNNNNNNNNNNNNNNNNNNNNNNNNNNNNNNNNNNNNNNNNNNNNNNNNNNNNNNNNNNNNNNNNNNNNNNNNNNNNNNNNNNNNNNNNNNNNNNNNNNNNNNNNNNNNNNNNNNNNNNNNNNNNNNNNNNNNNNNNNNNNNNNNNNNNNNNNNNNNNNNNNNNNUCUUUCCGCCGGCGAGCCCCCUCUCCACUGCCGCCAUCCACCGUCCGUCGGAGGUAAGAUUUUCAACUAUUUUUUUUUGUGUUGAUCGGGCCACCGGAAGGCGAAGCCGUCCGUGGCGGGGUGGGUGGGUGGGGUGCCAUGGGCUGCCGGUGGCGGCAUGGGGUCAGGGAGGGGUCGGCCGAUUUCGGGGAGUAGAGGCCAUGGGAGGCCGACUCCGAAGCUCAUUCAGGAAAAAAAAUAUUUUAAAAAAAUAAAAAAUUAUAAAAUAAAAUUUAGGUUAAAAAUAUUUUAGAAAAAAUAAAAAAUCAUCGAGUUCUCGGAAUUAGGUUUCAUGUUAUUAUUUUAUGUUAAUAUUAUUUUACAUGCUCAACCGCUUAUAGUUUAUUUUAUAUUUGUUGCAUAAAUUUAUUUUAUAUUUAUUGCAUAAUCAAUUAUUUAUAAUUUUUAUUAUUAUUAUUUAAUAUUAUAUUCAUUUAUAUAUCAAAAAUUAUAGGUAUGGUACAAGGAGACAGACAACGACGUUCAUGUUCGCCGUCUACCUCGGAGGCUGAGGCACCUUCAUCGAUUUCUAUUGCCGCACCAGUUCCAUCAUCAAAAAGUCCUGCACUGGCAGGUCCCGGUGAGAUGGGUUUGAGUGAAGCGGAUCUGAGUGGUAUUAUUAUUCUUUUUAUAUAAUAAAAUUUAAAUUUUUUAAUUUGGAUAGCUAUCAUAUUAAUGAUUUAUUUAUUGUUAUUUCAGGUCAGUCUCCAUCGGUAGUGAGGCGGGGACGAGGUCCAUCGAAGAACCUCGCUCUAGAGUGUUGGAGACAUCCAAACUUUUUUCUUAAGUUUAACUAUUGAAUCAUUUAUUCUUAAAUUAAAUUUAUUAUUUACCAAUUUAACUGGAUAACUGUACAGAGAAAAUAUGUCCAGAAUGCAAUGAAUCAGACGAGACAAUAAUGGUAGAGCGGACGCGUCGACGAUUAUCAGCACUUCUAAAUCCAGAUGAUGGAGCAGAUAGUGCAGAUGGAGCAAACGAUACAGCUGAUGAGGUAGCAGCAGGCCGAUCCGAGCUUCGUCGAGCGCUCUCCGUCUCCAGCUCGUUCUCCAGAUGUCAAUAUUUAAUGACUUAUUGAUGUAUUUUUUUAUUUUAAAUAUUUUAUAAUUUUAAUUUAAUAUAAUAAAAUAAUAAAAUUUAUUUAUUAAUUUAUUAUAUAAAAUUUUUAUUUUAAUUUUUUUAAUUAUAAAAAAUAUUAUAUAUAUAAAUUUAAAAUAUAUAUUCAUAAUAUUUUUUAAAAAAUAUGGCCAAAUUAUUAACGAUGAAAUUAUUCUCGACGAAAUAUUUAUCAUCAAAAAUAUUUUACUAACAUAAUUUAAUUUAUCAAUAAAUAUAUACUUAACAGUGACGAAAUUUUUUUUAUCGUAAAUAAUUAUUAGUGACGUAAAUUUUCGUCAAAAAUUACCUUAUUUGCGACGAAAAUUUUCGUUGCUAAUAUUGUUCAAUUUUAUUUAUUUUUUAUUAAAUUAAUAGCAAUGACUUAUUUUCGUUGUAAAAAAUUUUUUUUGCGACGUAAAUUUUUUGUCGCUAAUUAAAUUAAUAGUGACAAAAAUAAUUUCAUUGUUAUUAAUUUUUUAUUUAUCAUCGAUGAUUUUUUUCAUCACAAAUAUUUUUUUUAGAUUAAAUUUUUUCAUCUUAUUUUUUUUAAUGAUGAAAAAAAUUUAUCGAAAAUAUCAUUAUUAGCAACAAAAAAUUAUUUCGUUGUAAAAUAUUAUCAAUGAUGAAAUUAUUUGCGAUGAAUUAUUAACGAUCAAAAUUUUAUCGCUAAUAUGUAUUAGCGACAAAAAUCGAUUAUUAGUGACGAAAAAUUUUCGUCACUAAUAACCUAUUUUAUUGCAGUGAGUCCUAUAUAUGUCUAAUUGGCCUGCCAAAAUUGACCAUACACCAUCCAUUUCACAACCGUUGCUCCACCACUUUGAAAUGAAAAUGAAAGGAAGACUGAUCACCUACCCAAGUAACAAAUGACUUGUGUGUCAAACACCACAAAAUGAUAUCACAAGUCACAAGUUUUAUUAAAAACAAUUGCACAAAUGCUCUUUAGGGACUUUGGUUGACAAUUUUUACUAAAGUAACUUCACGAAAAUAUUAAAAUGAUGGAGUUUGCUACAUUAAUUAUUUUGUUCUUUUUAAAAAAUCUAUUUUAUCAAAAUUGGCGAGUUACAGAAUCCACACAUUAGCUUUAGAGAGGACAACUUCUUCCCUUUCUAAUAGAAUGUAAUUACAGAAAUCAUAUGUCAAUAGUUCUCUAUUUUAGGGAAAAACUAUAGACAACCAAACAGUGUUUAUAAGCAACAAUUACGCUAACCAAUAAUAGUUCCUUACUCUCGUUUCUUGGUUAGAAGUGGAUUAGAUCGUGCCUUGGUUACCUCGAUUAAAAUGAGCCUAGUCUGUAACAAGAUAUGGAUCCUGUUUACCAACCGGGCUCAGCUUAUUCCAUGAGGUAUCCGACCUGGCUUGUUUAUCUGAUAGGGCCCCCGCCUUACUUUGUUGACAUGAUUUAACUACAGCGAACUGGACCAGAAUCAUUGCGCUUUGUCGGGGUUGAGGGGCGCCUCUGCAAGCCCUCUGGCGUGCUGCAGCCAUGUCAACCACCAAUAUUUGCUUCAAUCGGAACGAGGAAUCUUCCAAAGGGACGUAAGUCACGGGAUGACCAAAUCUCCCGCCUCAUCUUAACACGAAAGCACAGCGUAGACCAAACCUCCAGGCAGUGGUGGUGUUGAAUGGAACCAUGCAUGGAAGAUAAGGAUGGGCGACUACGUUUCAACGUGGAAUGUACGUGGGGUAUUGUAUUCCCACCAUUAUUCUCAAAAAAAAAAAAAGGAAAAGAAAAAAAUUAUGUGCUAAUUAACCACUUCAAGAAGAAGACUUGUCGGAAUGCCUGGCUGAACAGCAUGGUGAGGUGAUGGGGAUGUUGUUGGAAGGUCAAUCACUGCGAACCUCCAUUGCUGGAUGCAUUAAAUCACGUUUGUCAAAAAGAUGGCUUCAUGUCUCCAUCUCUCCUUUUCGUCCGUCUCCACUCUUUCAUUUGUUAAACAGGCGGAAGGACAGCCAUCUUUUUUCAUUAUGGGAGAAUAAUGACACCGUACUGUUAGGUGUCACCAAACGAAUACAAAAUCCCAGUUUAAUGCGUAUACGAAGGCAUCAUGCCAACCUUAAUUAGGAAUAUAUAUAUAUUUUUUUAUAUUUUUGGUACAUAAACUGUAUAUGUUUUCAUUGUCUAAUACCAUGACAUGUCAUCGAUAGUUGGCCGUUGUUCUGUCGGUCCACCGUUGCUUGAAUUGUUUGGAACUCUAUUCAGUUCUCUUGGACCAAAUCGUUAUCGCCGGCUUAUUCUUUAUUUUUGGACUUACACGCAAUCGGUCAUAAUGUUAACUUACAAGCAAUCAUGCCAUGUGGGUCCAGGGUAGCCUUCUUUUUGUGUAUAUAUAAGGAGGGGCUCUGGCAUCAUCAUCGAUAUCGGGUUCCAGCGCUUAAUCUCUAGCAUUAUACUUCUUGUUUCUAUCUAUAAGGUGUGCAGCAGUCUCUCUUUCACUUUCUCGGUUAGCUACUUUUCCUUGUCACAAUUACGUGUUAUUUUUUAGGACUACCUAGUAAGUCGAGUAAUUUCAAUCUAGAGCAAGCAACUCCAGCAUCCCUUUGAUUCUUGCUGGAUUUUAGAAACUUAAGGAUUCUGUGGCAUGUAUGAUCUUCAUUUCCAUCCUUCUUGAGAAGAAAGUUCUUCUGCCAUCAAAUACAAAUGAUUACUAUCUCACGACUUUCUGUUUGGUGUUGCCUAAAAUGGAGUCAAGCAUGAUCAUGGCCAACCGUAGAAGCUUAGAGACAAAUAGUUGAUUAAUUUUGCAAGUGCUACAACCACUGCUAAUCUUUGUUUCAGAUAAUGGGCUAGCUGUUCACUGCAUUCGCAAAUAAUUAGUAUAUCUCUUAAGGUCCAACUUAGUAUUUAUCUUUAUGUCCAUAUAAACACCUUUUGUCUGAUUUAUUUCUAUAUUUUUUCACAGGAAAGCUACAGGAAUGAGGUCUACGCUGUUGUUGAGUAUUUUUUAUCUAAUCAUCGGUCUGGCAGUCGGGACCAGACCACCACCUCCAAUAACUGAGCAAAUCCUUCGAAACGUCGCCGGCUCUCUUCAAAUGUACAUCGAACCCCUCCCGCAGAUGCCUAAGCUCUAUGGCUAUUCAAUCGUAAAUGGAUGGCCAAAGUCCGUCACACUCAUCAUCGGCAUGUUCGAAAAGAAAUGGGUAAGAAUCAAUAUCCUUCUGCCCUGCAUUAUACAAACAUAAAAAUUACUGUGGCCAAUCUUCUACCAUCUGUCGUCGGUGCAGAGCAUCUGUAAAAUAAAAUUUUCACAGAUCAAAAUUAUAUAUUAAUCUACUUGUUGUCGACAAUAUAUACUUGAUAUGGUACUUAAUUUGCCGGACAUGCAGCUAGACCUAAGAUAAAGAGAGAGAUGUGACUAUGGGAAUUCCAAUUCUGCUAAGUAAUAAACUCCCAGUCGAUAAAUGGCUAAGUGGAUGAACUUUUUGUCCAUAACAAAAUUUCAGAGAUUACCAUGGAUAAUAAUUUUUGUCUCCAAAAAUAUUUAGAAAUUUAUAGAUAAUUUUUUCUACCUAAAAAUCUAUAGGCCUAGCUCUAAAAAUCAAUUUAAUAUAAUAAACAAGCCGGUUAGAUUCAAAUAUGCAUGUAUGACUCGUUAGCCUCGAUCGGGCUAGUCACAUGUUCUCGUUAAAACACUGUUACAACAUCAACCUUCUUUUUAAAUGUUGGACAGAUUCGUACUGCAUAUUAGUCAAAUAACAUUUCGCAAAAGAAAAAAAAAGGGGUUAUAUUUAAGAGAAAAUAAAACUAAAAGAAUUACAUGUUAUUCUCGUAGCUAGAAAAAGCCAAGAAUAUUCCGGACUUAUUAUUUAUCCUAACCGAUGCAAGCUAAUGGUAUCCACCUUUCUGAAUGGCAGCCCGCGCACUAGGGCGCAAAAUGGACAUAAUACAUUAAUGGCGCAACACUGUUGAUUAGUGUUAAUGACGGUCUCUCAAUAAAUCCAAAGAUUUCCCCCUUAUUAUAUCUCUUUUGCAGGAGGUUUGGUAAAAAGAAUUCAAUUUACUUUUUUUAAAAAAACAAGAAAGAAAAUCAGAUAACAAUCUAAAAAUCAACUCCUCAUAAAAAAAAAAGAAAAAUAAGAAAAAAUAAAUAAAUAAAAGAAAGAAAAAAAAUGGAGUUCCCAUUUCUUUCUGCUUUUAAUUCCUUUUCCUUUUAAUUAUAAAGUUUCUGAUUUGGUUUUGCUUGAAUAAAUUCACUUGGGCCCUGGAACCUUUUUAAAUCUAGUCAAGUGUAUCUCUUGAAAGAUAAUCCUAUGAUCCAGUGCAAGCUAGUGUUAUUGGUAGAGCCUCAAGCUGUCUGAUAGGUUAUCUUUUUUCUUUUCUCUUUUUUUUUUUUUUUGGUUGAUGAAAAGGAGGUGAAACCUCCAUUAUUUAUUAGUACUUAAAUUAGACAGUUUGAAAAGAGUUACAUAGUUGUAACCUUUCAGUACAUCUCUACUAUAUAUGCUUAGCUCUUUUUUCCUAAUUUGGGUUGAGGAAAUAUAGUCGUUUCCUCGUGAAGUAUUAAUGAUUGUCUUUGAGCAGGAAAGAAGUCUUCAAUAACCUAUCUCCCAACAGCAGUCUCAAUCAGGCUUUUGAACCUCAGGUGUCCAGCUUACUUCUUUGAAGCAAUCUUGGUUAUAUCACCUUUAAAACUCUGAAGACAGGAAAAGAAGAAUCUGAUUCUGAAACUCUGAAAAGUUCGACAGAUCUGAAAACAGAUUUUUGGUUAAAUAUUGAAAGCAGAGAAUCCGAUUUUGUGAACUCGUUAGCUCUGAAAAUUGAUUUGUCGUAACCUCUGUAAUUCUGAAAACCUGUCUCCAUCAGUGUCUAUUUGCUCCGAAAAUCCAUCCUCUCUUAUCUCCUUUUUUUUCUUCCCCACUAUUCCCUGAAUAUAAGACCUCUGAUGUUUCCUUCUGAGAUUGCCGCCAAGUUUCCCCAAAAAAGAGUCCUCGAUCUGAUGAGUGCCCAUAUCUUCUUUUAUUUGUGUACCACUAAAUGCAUUGUCUGUCGCAGGAAAAUUUUUGUUUCAUCUGUCCAGAAGAUAAAAAGUGCUGCAAUUUGCUGAGCAAUUUGGUUUAGGAUAGUAAGCAUGGAAUUCAAAUACCUGUUUGUUGUGCUCUUUCCAAAGACACCACAGACCAAUUAUGAGAAGCGCAUCUAUUCCAUGUCUUUGAUCUUGAUUGACAUUAUUGACUCUCCCUGUAUUCCAUAAAAUGUCCAGUGUGGAUGGGAGUUCUGGCAGUUGCAAGUUUAGGAGUCGCUGAGUCCAAAUUGUUCUGGAGAAACGGCAUUCAAGCAUAAGAUGAUGAUUAGUCUGAUAGGUUAUCUUAAAGUGGUCUGCAGGCAAUGGAAACGAUCAAAUUAUCUGAUAACAACUCUUUCGCAUGCAGAAAUUCCACCGGGACUUGCCGCCGACGACCGUUUUUGCUUUCGGCACCUGCCCGGACACCGCCACGUUCCCCGGCCCCACCAUCGAGGCCCUCCAGGGGGUCCCACUGCAUGUGACGUGGCAGAACCACCUUCCUCAUAGCCACAUCCUCCCAUGGGACCCCACAAUCCCGGUAGCCAACCCGAAGCAUGGCGGCGUCCCCGCCGUCGUCCACCUCCACGGCGGCGUCCACGAACCCCAGUCCGACGGCAGUGCCCUCGCCUGGUUCACUGCCGGCUAUCUCGAUACCGGCCCAAAAUGGACCCAGCCCACCUAUACCUAUCCCAACGUCCAGCACCCGGGCAACCUCUGGUACCACGACCACACCAACGGCCUCACCCGCGCCAACCUCCUCGCCGGCCUCAUAGGCGCCUACGUCAUCCGGAACCCCCACGUCGAGGUCCCCUUCGGCCUCCCCAGCGGCGACGCCUUCGACCGCCACCUCAUCCUCGCCGACCGGAGCUUCGCCACCGACGGCUCCCUCUAUAUGAACAACACCGGUGACAACCCCUCCAUUCACCCCCAGUGGCAGCCAGAGUACUUCGGCGAGGCCAUCACCGUCAACGGCAAGGUCUGGCCGUUCCUUGCCGUCCAGCGCCGCAAGUACCGCUUUCGUAUCAUCAACGCCAGCAAUGCGCGUUACUUCAAGCUUGCACUGUCCAACGGGCUAAUGUUUUACGUCGUCGGCUCCGACUCGUCCUACCUGCCGAAGCCCGUUGCCAGUCCGACGAUCGUCGUCUCGCCGUCCGAGACCUUCGAUGUGGUGAUCGAUUUCUCGAAAUCAACCACCUCAACUGCGGAGCUAACCAACAGUGCAUCAUACCCGUACCCCAAUGGUACUGCUGCCGGCCAGCUAAACGGCAAGGUAAUGAGGUUCGUCAUAUCGGCCGAUACCCCGACCGACGAUUCGAGGAUCCCGUCAAGCCUAGUGAAUUAUCCGGCGGCCAACGAGGGGGAGGCGACGGUGAGGAGAUACAUUACAAUGUAUGAAUACCAGAGCUCGACCGGGAAGCCGACGCACUUUUAUAUCAACGGGAAGAGUUUCGAGGACCCGGUGACGGAGAUGCCGAGGCCGGGGAGCACGGAGGUGUGGGAGGUGAUCAACCUAACGGGGGAUAACCAUCCAUUGCAUGUCCACCUAGCGACGUCCCAGGCCGUGAGGGUGACGGAGCUGGUGGAUUUGACGACGUUCGGCAAUU